CCCCUCACCAGGAAGCAGGCAAAGCUUCCAUCCCAUGGAGCACAGCAGAACCCUGCAUUCAGUGCUGACACAGCUGCCAGCCUGGGGCACGGGCACCGUCAGCCACCCGGGGUUGCCUCGGUUGGGCAAAUUCCAAAAGCUGU
RNAcentral lists this long non-coding RNA (143 nucleotides) under Corvus moneduloides (New Caledonian crow). Its description in RNAcentral is "lncRNA (ENSCMUG00000012837.2)". The record is from RNAcentral. Lineage: Eukaryota; Metazoa; Chordata; Aves; Passeriformes; Corvidae.